RNAcentral lists this ribosomal RNA (431 nucleotides) under uncultured bacterium. RNAcentral describes it as "partial 16S ribosomal RNA". It matches the Rfam family "Bacterial small subunit ribosomal RNA", at positions 29 to 507 of the family's 1533-position model. The record is from RNAcentral.
AACGAACGCUGGCGGCAGGCUUAACACAAGCAAGUCGAGCGCCCCGCAAGGGGAGCGGCAGACGGGUGAGUAACGCGUGGGAACGUACCUUUUGGUUCGGAACAACUCCGGGAAACUGGAGCUAAUACCGGAUAAGCCCUAACGGGGAAAGAUUUAUCGCCGAAAGAUCGGCCCGCGUCUGAUUAGCUAGUUGGUGAGGUAACGGCUCACCAAGGCGACGAUCAGUAGCUGGUCUGAGAGGAUGAUCAGCCACACUGGGACUGAGACACGGCCCAGACUCCUACGGGAGGCAGCAGUGGGGAAUAUUGGACAAUGGGCGCAAGCCUGAUCCAGCCAUGCCGCGUGAGUGAUGAAGGCCUUAGGGUUGUAAAGCUCUUUUGUCCGGGAAGAUAAUGACUGUACCGGAAGAAUAAGCCCCGGCUAACUUCGUG